RNAcentral lists this transfer RNA (74 nucleotides) under Nasturtium officinale. Its description in RNAcentral is "tRNA-Val". It matches the Rfam family "tRNA". Rfam says of the family: Transfer RNA (tRNA) molecules are approximately 80 nucleotides in length. Their secondary structure includes four short double-helical elements and three loops (D, anti-codon, and T loops). Further hydrogen bonds mediate the characteristic L-shaped molecular structure. tRNAs have two regions of fundamental functional importance: the anti-codon, which is responsible for specific mRNA codon recognition, and the 3' end, to which the tRNAs corresponding amino acid is attached (by aminoacyl-tRNA synthetases). tRNAs cope with the degeneracy of the genetic code in two manners: having more than one tRNA (with a specific anti-codon) for a particular amino acid; and 'wobble' base-pairing, i.e. permitting non-standard base-pairing at the 3rd anti-codon position. Lineage: Eukaryota; Viridiplantae; Streptophyta; Magnoliopsida; Brassicales; Brassicaceae. The record is from RNAcentral.
AGGGCUAUAGCUCAGUUGGUAGAGCACCUCGUUUACACGCGAGCAGGUCUACGGUUCGAGUCCGUAUAGCCCUA